UGGUAUUGGAAAUAUGCCCACAUCAUGACA
RNAcentral lists this non-coding RNA (30 nucleotides) under Rattus norvegicus (Norway rat). Lineage: Eukaryota; Metazoa; Chordata; Mammalia; Rodentia; Muridae. The record is from RNAcentral.